UCGGAGAGUUUGAUCCUGGCUCAGGACGAACGCUGGCGGCGUGCCUAAUACAUGCAAGUCGAGCGAACAGAAGGGAGCUUGCUCCCGGAUGUUAGCGGCGGACGGGUGAGUAACACGUGGGCAACCU
This 127-nucleotide ribosomal RNA is filed under the name Bacillus pumilus. RNAcentral's name for it is "partial 16S ribosomal RNA". It matches the Rfam family "Bacterial small subunit ribosomal RNA", at positions 1 to 127 of the family's 1533-position model. The record is from RNAcentral. Lineage: Bacteria; Bacillati; Bacillota; Bacilli; Caryophanales; Bacillaceae.